RNAcentral lists this unclassified non-coding RNA (781 nucleotides) under Hevea brasiliensis (rubber tree). Lineage: Eukaryota; Viridiplantae; Streptophyta; Magnoliopsida; Malpighiales; Euphorbiaceae. The record is from RNAcentral.
CUGAUACCUACGGACUUACAUAUCCCUAAUUAGUCAAUUGAAAAAGCAACAGGACGCAAUUGUACUUCUCCAGCAACUGCAAGGGUGGAGAAUUUUCAUGAUGCAGUAACUAAGGGACCCUCACCACUUCUUUUAUUAAAAGAAAACAAAUAUAGUCUAAAGCAGACCACAUCGAUGUAAAUAAAUAGAUAAUGGAAAUUUGGUUCAGAAAAUGACCAAACAAGCAAGAUGAUGGUCAUGCCAAAUCCUUAUUCUAUUGACAUUGAACAAAUGGAAAUGCCAUUAAUACAAGGAUUUGUCAACUGAAAGUGCAAAGUAAUUGAAACAAGUUGACAAAAGAUUGACACAGAUUUGUCCAAGAACACCAAUCCCCAUGCAGAUGAUUAAUAUUGAAAAUAAGAGCACCAUUACUCUAAUGAUGAUGAUCCUGCACAUAGCGUAGACCACAAUACUUGCAGACGGCUGGUUCCUUCAAGUCAAGGCAUAUGAACUCAAUAGGAUGCCCGAGUGCAGGAUUAGUGUCUCCUUCGCAUGCAACAAUCCUGCCUUCAACCUUGAUGGGGGGAAUUUCAUUGAUCAACUCCAUUGGAGAUUUCUUGCUAGCAUCCUGCAUCCAUUUGGCAGUAUGGUUGCUAAUUUGACUGGUGACAAGGCUAAAACUUCUGGCGUUCCAACCCAAAUUGGAGGAUCUCGUUAGGGUUCUCAACAAAGUCGAAGCCAUUGUUGGCUGCCACCUGCAAUUUUCGAAGAGAGAGAUUAAAUUUAGAAAUUAGAAGAGAAA